CUAACAAGGAUUCCCUUAGUAGCGGCGAGCGAACCGGGAAGAGCCCAGCUUGAAAAUCGCGCCGUUCCGCGGCGCGAGUUGUAGUCUGGAGAAGUGUCCUCUGCAGCGGACCCGGCCUAAGUCCCCUGGAAAGGGGCGUCGGAGAGGGUGAGAACCCCGUCGGGCCGGGACCCUGCUGCUCCACGAGGCGCUGUCGACGAGUCGGGCUGUUUGGGAAUGCAGCCCUAAGAGGGAGGUAAAUUCCUUCCAAGGCUAAAUACGGGCGGGAGACCGAUAGCGAACAAGUACCGCGAGGGAAAGAUGAAAAGGACUUUGAAAAGAGAGUUAAAAAGUGCUUGAAAUUGCUGGGAGGGAAGCGAAUGGAGGCCUCGUGUGCGCCCCGGUCGGAUGCGGAACGGCUGCGUAAGCUGGUCCGCCGCUCGACGCGGGGCGCUGGUCGGCGUGGGCUUCCCCGGCGGGAUAAAAGUCGGCCUUCGUGGCCGGCCUAUGCCGUCGGGGAGGCCGAGGAUACCUUUUUUUGGUGGAAGCGCGCGCCCCCUUCGGGGGGCGGGCCCCUUCGGGGGCGCCUGCGCGCUCGGGACGUCGGCGCAGUGGGCUUUUCAUCCGACCCGUCUUGAAACACGGACCAAGGAGUCUAACAUGCAUGCGAGCCGGUGGGCGGCAAACCCACGCGAGGCGCAAAUAACUUGACGAAGGUGUGAUCCUCCCCCGAGGGGUGCAACAUCGACCGACCAUGAUCUUCUGUGAAAGGUUCGAGUAAGAGCAUGCCUGUUGGGACCCGAAAGAUGGUGAACUAUGCCUGAGCAGGGCGAAGUCAGAGGAAACUCUGGUGGAGGCUCGUAGCGAUACUGACGUGCAAAUCGUUCGUCAGACUCGGGUAUAGGGGCGAAAGACUAAUCGAACCAUCUAGUAGCUGGUUCCCUCCGAAGUUUCCCUCAGGAUAGCCGGAGCACGAGGAGUUUCAUCAGGUAAAGCGAAUGAUUAGAGGCAUCGGGGGUGAAACACCCUCGACCUAUUCUCAAACUUUAAAUAGGUGAGAUCCGACUCAGGGGUUGCUCGAUUGAACCCCCGGAAAGGAAUCCGAACG
This 1087-nucleotide ribosomal RNA is filed under the name Riccia fluitans. RNAcentral describes it as "eukaryotic LSU rRNA". It matches the Rfam family "Eukaryotic large subunit ribosomal RNA", at positions 65 to 1121 of the family's 3401-position model. Lineage: Eukaryota; Viridiplantae; Streptophyta; Marchantiopsida; Marchantiales; Ricciaceae. The record is from RNAcentral.